This 253-nucleotide ribosomal RNA is filed under the name uncultured prokaryote. RNAcentral's name for it is "partial 16S ribosomal RNA". It matches the Rfam family "Bacterial small subunit ribosomal RNA", at positions 524 to 776 of the family's 1533-position model. The record is from RNAcentral.
UACGGAGGGUCCAAGCGUUAUCCGGAUUUAUUGGGUUUAAAGGGUACGUAGGCGGAAGAUUAAGUCAGUAGUGAAAUCCCAUCGCUCAACGAUGGAACUGCUAUUGAUACUGGUUUUCUUGAAUAUACUUGAAGUAGGCGGAAUACGACAUGUAGCGGUGAAAUGCAUAGAUAUGUCGUAGAACACCGAUUGCGAAGGCAGCUUACUAAGGUAUUAUUGACGCUAAUGUACGAAAGCGUGGGGAGCGAACAGG